Molecule: long non-coding RNA, 1434 nt
Organism: Pangasianodon hypophthalmus (striped catfish)
Lineage: Eukaryota; Metazoa; Chordata; Actinopteri; Siluriformes; Pangasiidae
Exons: 3
Source: RefSeq, a predicted model, not a curated record
AAAGAAAGGAUUCAAAGAACCGAUCUCAAGGAGUCGACUCUUUCAUGAAUGAAUCACCGCUGGCUACCUGUUACCUCUUCAGAAAAGACGCCAAAGAUGACUUGACGCACGGAUUCGCGUUCCUGCAGCGUCUCGAUGGGAUCGUCACCACGUACCGCACGCCACCGUUACAAGACAUGAGACAGCAGCAGCGAUUUAUAUGCACACCACCGGUGUUUGAACUGCAAGAAACUGCGCUGCAUGUUAAGAAAUUGGCCGUUCUCUAAAUCAGUAAUUCGCUGUUUGAACGGUAAGAAAAACACCCUCCUGACGACGUAUCAUGGAAGCGAAAGACUACAGUCAUUUUGUGGAUGGAUAUUUAUACACAAACACGAAAGGAAACCAGAGAAUGGUAAAGAAAGCUACUGACUGAUUCUCCAGGGACAGCAUGUUUACAUCUGCCAAUGUUCUCACUACUGAGUCUGCCAGAUUCAAUAUGCUACCACCAAAAUAUGACAUUUACAGCAUAUGACAGAUGAUGCUAUCCAGAGCAACUUACAGAAAUGUCUUGUAGUGUCCAUCAGUGCCACACUCGUUCAAGUACAAUCCAGUAAGGACCUAAGAAUACUAACAUGCUACUAAAUGCUCAUGUAAAUAUUUAUUUGUAAGUUAAUUAAGACUCUGCUUGUUAUUUCUCCAUGAUCAGUUGACUGUUGUUGCACAGAUGCCAUAAAAUUACUCCAGAAAUGCCCUAAAGCAGUGGUUCCCAACCUGGGGUCCGCCAGAGUUCACAGGAGGGUCACGGGAGCUUAUAUGAUUUGAGGUCAAAUAAAGAUGCAUAAAAUGUUCCACUAAUAGUUUUAUAUAAAAAUAUUUUUGUAUGUUUUUUUAAAAAAAAAAAAAUCAUGUGCUUACAAUAAGGCAGUCAAAAAACAGUUAUCUCUUCUAUAAAAUAUUAUUAACGAUUCUCUUUUACACUAGCCAAUUGCGUUCACGUUCCAAGCUGGAAGGACCGUCAUUGGCUGUUGUCGGUUCAGAUAACGUGUGUGUCAACACAAUAUCCAAAUCAAAUGGAAAAAAUGUCAGAGAAACGAAAAUGCGGUGAUUUUUCAUCAGAUGUGAAGAAAAAGUUUAGACACUAUGACAAAACCUACUUAAAUUUCGGUUUUAUUGAAGGUCAAGACAAGUCCCGGCCAGAAUGUGUGUUCUGUGGUGAAAAAUUGGCAAACGACAGCAUGAAACCAAGCAAAUUGAAAAGACACCAGGAAACGAAGCAUCCAGAGACAAUCGGUAAAGAUCAGGUAUUCUUCGAGAGAAAAAAAAGAGAUGGCUCUAUCAAAAAGACCGACAGACAGAAGAAAGGUAUUCGAAAGAGCAGGUAAUGAUUAUACUGUAUACGUGUACAUGUGUGAGUAGCAUAUUAUAUAUAUAUAUAUGCUACUCACACACACAUAU